Molecule: ribosomal RNA, 493 nt
Filed under: uncultured bodonid
Lineage: Eukaryota; Euglenozoa; Kinetoplastea; Eubodonida; Bodonidae
Description: bacterial SSU rRNA
Rfam family: Eukaryotic small subunit ribosomal RNA
Source: RNAcentral
GAUCAUCCCGUUCCACACGCACGUCGGCUUCGGCUUGCGGGCGUGGUGGAUGGCCCUGCGGAUGAAUGAAAGUACAAACCAAUCGCCUCGCAAGGGGCAGUAUCACGGAGUAGUGCUGAAUCAAUUCAUCUUUGCGAAAGCCGGCUUGCCGGCGUCUUUUGACGAACAACUGUUUCUAUCAGCCAUGAUGGCCGUGUAGUGGACUGCCAUGGCGUUGACGGGAGCGGGGGAUUAGGGUUCGAUUCCGGAGAGGGAGCCUGAGAAAUGGCUACCACUUCUACGGAGGGCAGCAGGCGCGCAAAUUGCCCAAUGCCAAAACAAAUGAUGAGGCAGCGAAAAGAAAUAGGUGCCCCAAACGCCUUGUGUGUUUGGGGCUUUCAAUGGGGGAUAUUUAAAACCAUCCAACAUCGAGUAACAAUUGGAGGACAAGUCUGGUGCCAGCACCCGCGGUAAUUCCAGCUCCAAGAGCAUAUAUUAACGCUGUUGCUGUUAA